This is a non-coding RNA of Malus domestica (apple), 2789 nucleotides long. NCBI's taxonomy places the organism in Eukaryota, Viridiplantae, Streptophyta, Magnoliopsida, Rosales, Rosaceae. The record is from RefSeq and is a predicted model, not a curated record.
CCUGAACCGGGAAAAUCGAACAACAGUCCAGAACCGGUCUAACUCGUUGAGUAACUCGGAGAGCAGCAGAUCCAGUACAAACCUCUUGGUGUUUUACCAAAUGCAAUUGCUGGAGAAAAAGCUUUGGCCCAACACUGAAAGGGGUCGACCACCACCAUGCGUAUUUGUUGCUGUUUAAAAAGGGAGAUAAAGAGUUGACAAUGACUUGGAAAUGAUCCAUGUCUUUCGAGAUAAUGCCUGGUGGAAUCAUGGGAUUUUGAGCUCAGCAUGUUAAUCUGCAUAACUUCCGUAUCCCUGAAGUAAGAAGAUCAAGUUGCUCCACUAAUUCUACAGUUCUACCUUGGGUUAUUAGCAUGAGGAGAAAAGUUGAAUUUGGUAACAUAAAUUAAUUACUUUUCGAAAGGUGCCUUAUUUAGAAAGUAAAUCGGUAACAACUUUAGAUGUUGCCUGCAUUCGUACUAUGAUUUAUCAAAUCCAUGUUUAGCCUUUUAUUAUAACUUUGUUUCUCGGGGAAUAAUAUUCAAUUAUCAUAACAGGUGCAGCUUUAGAACUAUUUUAGGCUCUUUCGCGUUGCCUUUGUGAAGACACAGACUAGAAAGAAAAAGAAAAAACAUAAAAAAACAGAAAGUCUGAUUUAUAUUUCUUCUAAUAUGUCAAAAUUUUAGUUUGUUUAUCAUUUUGAAUUGUUAAUUUAAAUUACAUAUCUGAAUUCUUUAACGCCAGAAAAGACAUAGAUUGCACUGUUGUACCGAGAUCUGCACAUCAUAGGAUAAUGUCAGUUUUAUGUUAUCUCUGUAAUUGCAUCCAAUUAACUCAACUUCUGAAUUGAUGCUCUAUUGAUUUCUAAUAUGAGUUUUUCUUUUAAUGUAACCCCUACGCGAACGCAUUUUUUGCUUGUAUCUCAUUUUGCUUGCAUCUAAUUUUGCUUGCAAAGAGGUCGCACUUGGUGCGAUGGCAAGUGCCUUCGCCCAUGAGUUUUCUUGGUCCCCCACCUACAGGACUGCAUUGUUCUUUUUCCUUCAAACGUGGCCCAAGGUCUAGUAUGAUGAACUAGGGAAGAAGAAAAGGAAGAAAUAGAACGAAAACCGAGUGCUGUCAGUGGCGUACAAAAGACAUAAUUGCUUUAAAGUAAUAAGUAAAUGGCCCCAAGCAUGCCAAAGUUAUGCAGGAUUUCUUUUAUCUCAGAAGAUGAUGAGUAAGAACUGUGCAACAAAUUAUUGUUGUUGAAUACUGCUUUUGUUUCUUGUUGUCACAGUUGAAGUUCAUAUCAUUUAUUGCUUUAGUGUGCCCUUGGAUAGAAUAGAUUGUUCCAUGAAGCUCUAUUCGAUUAUAUCAUUCUAAUUCUCGAACGAGAUUAUACGUAUAUAGCCUGUUUGCUUUUAGCAGUUGGUGCCAUUUGGAGUCUGCAAUUACCCUAACCCUAAAACCCAAAGGUAAGGAUGAUGAUGAGGUUGCCCACUUAACCAAAAAAAGGAGAAGAUUUUUAUUAUAUGACCCGAAAUGGUGUAUUCUGGGUGGGAAAGAGGUGGAAGUAGUGGCAAGAAACUUUAUGGAACAUAUUAGUCAUAUCAAGCACUGUUUUUCCACUAAAGUAUGUUCUUCGUCUGCAUUUCUUCUAAUCGAUUGGAACAUUUUAGUUGUAUUCAAAUAUAGAAAACCCUAGAAACCGUCAUUGCUAAAAACUUCGAACCAUUUGUGAUGAUCCGUCUGUUACAGUAGUGUUCAAUUAGUUCAUAGAGUCCAUUGAAAUUUCCCUUUCUAGGCACCUGGACUUUUUGCAGGGGUUUAGCUCAACUUAGACCAAAACAUGAGUCAUCUGCUGUAUGUUAAAGACCAAACGAAUGAUGUGGAUUUUGUAUGUUUCAGAGGAAACACAAACAAUGCAAAAUUCAGGUUAUGGAUUAUGAUAGAUGAUUCAUCCAGAACAAGAUAACGCUAUUUUAUAAAACACCUGCACUCUUUAGUCUAAUGCUCUAAUACUAUUAGGUCUAGUUGUCAUGAGAUUAUUAGCCUAACCACGUAUUUAGCUGAUAAGAAAGUGCAAAUACUCGGUUAAAUUUCACCAAAGGCCGAAAUUUUCGGCCAAUUAAUGAUUCUCUUCCCACUAAGUCUAAAUUAAUAUACAUCUUUGUUGUAUCUUUAGCUUAUACUGGCCUAAGAAUGCCAUCAUAGAAAACCCUUUGAUUAAUUGUUGUAUUAAAUAAUGAUUAUGCAUGAUAAAUUAAAAAAUUAUGGUGCUAAUGUGUUGAUGCAUUCAUUCAUUCACUUUAUCUAUGUGCAUGAAUCCUGACCAUCAAAGUAUUGAGGGGACCAUGUGUUGCUGCUUAGCAGAAAGGGAAAGUUCACCCCUUCUUUUCUUUCUUUUGUGCUGGAAUGUUGAUGUUCUGAGUUGCUUUUAUUGAUGGUUUUACAAAUUUUUAAUUCACAGAAUUGAUAACCACACACCGAUUUUCUCCCUCGAUGCUCAUGUUUGAUUUUGCUUCUUGUUUCUGUUAGAUUUAUUCAAUCCGAUGAGUCCAUGUAAUCUCCUUUUUAACUUUUUUGACUUUUUUGGCACUAUGUUUUGCUUUGCAGAGGUAGGCCUAUGUUGCCUUGAUUAUCUGUUGCUUAAAGCCUCCCCCCGUGUGGCACAUCUAUAUGAACUUUGGUUCUUCUCCAAUACAUUUCCAGAACCCUGUUUCUGCAACUUUUGUUCUGUCAGUGCUUAGAAAACGAAAUCAUUGGAACACUUUGGAUCCUUCAAUCUUUAUCUUUUUGUUUUUCCUAUUUUUUCUUAUAUGGUACAUACU